CCUACGGGAGGCAGCAGUGGGGAAUAUUGGGCAAUGGGCGCAAGCCUGACCCAGCAACGCCGCGUGAAGGAAGAAGGCUUUCGGGUUGUAAACUUCUUUUCUCAGGGACGAAGCAAGUGACGGUACCUGAGGAAUAAGCCACGGCUAACUACGUGCCAGCAGCCGCGGUAAUACGUAGGUGGCAAGCGUUAUUCGGAUUUACUGGGUGUAAAGGGCGUGUAGGUGGGAGAGCAAGUCAGAUGUGAAAACCAUGGGCUCAACCUGUGGCCUGCAUUUGAAACUGUUUUUCUUGAGUGCUGGAGAGGCAGAGGGAAUUCCUAGUGUAGCGGUGAAAUGCGUAGAUAUUAGGAGGAACACCAGUGGCGAAGGCGAUCUGCUGGACAGCAACUGACGCUGAGGCGCGAAAGCGUGGGGAGCGAACGGGAUUAGAUACCCCUGUAGUC
RNAcentral lists this ribosomal RNA (443 nucleotides) under uncultured bacterium. RNAcentral describes it as "partial 16S ribosomal RNA". It matches the Rfam family "Bacterial small subunit ribosomal RNA", at positions 338 to 795 of the family's 1533-position model. The record is from RNAcentral.